This 342-nucleotide ribosomal RNA is filed under the name Salmonella enterica subsp. enterica serovar Oranienburg. Its description in RNAcentral is "bacterial SSU rRNA". It matches the Rfam family "Bacterial small subunit ribosomal RNA", at positions 1 to 337 of the family's 1533-position model. The record is from RNAcentral. Lineage: Bacteria; Pseudomonadati; Pseudomonadota; Gammaproteobacteria; Enterobacterales; Enterobacteriaceae.
UUAAAUUGAAGAGUUUGAUCAUGGCUCAGAUUGAACGCUGGCGGCAGGCCUAACACAUGCAAGUCGAACGGUAACAGGAAGCAGCUUGCUGCUUCGCUGACGAGUGGCGGACGGGUGAGUAAUGUCUGGGAAACUGCCUGAUGGAGGGGGAUAACUACUGGAAACGGUGGCUAAUACCGCAUAACGUCGCAAGACCAAAGAGGGGGACCUUCGGGCCUCUUGCCAUCAGAUGUGCCCAGAUGGGAUUAGCUUGUUGGUGAGGUAACGGCUCACCAAGGCGACGAUCCCUAGCUGGUCUGAGAGGAUGACCAGCCACACUGGAACUGAGACACGGUCCAGACU